This 8424-nucleotide long non-coding RNA is filed under the name Marmota monax (woodchuck). Lineage: Eukaryota; Metazoa; Chordata; Mammalia; Rodentia; Sciuridae. The record is from RNAcentral.
GGUUUGGGGNCAGAUACAUGUGUGUUAGAAUGUGUUUAGGAGUUGUAUCUGAAGAAUGACUCACUGAGUUGGGAGGAAAUGAAUAGACUUUGGUCAGGAGAUUAAAUUCUGAUGGGGACAGAAAAAAACAAAAAAACAAUAAAGCCUUUGUAAUUGAAGGGACCUGGAGAAAGGAGGUAGUGUCCUGAAUGACAGUAUCUUAUCUCUGUGUUGUUUCCAGGCUCCUUAAUCCUACAGGCUCCUUAUUCUGUGUUUGAAGGAGACAUAUUGGUUCUGAGAUGCCAGCAAAGGGGAAAAGAGAAACUGACCUCCGUGAAAUACACUUGGAAUGGAAAAGUCCUUCUCGUUUCUAACAAAAGCUUGGAUCUUUUUAUCCCAAGAGCAGGUUUAAAUAACAGUGGCUUUUAUCAAUGCAUUGGAUUUAGGAACCAAAAAUUGGCAGAUAAGUCAGCUACCGAAUAUAUUGGGAUUAAAGGUAAAUCCUUCAUUUCAUAUAGAUUCAUUUAGUAAUGUCAGGGUGGAGAAACUGGGCCUGUCAGGAGGGAUUUAUAGGUGAAUAUUGGAACCCUGAAUACUGGAGACUUAUGAGUCCCUCCAGGAGGCAGAGAAAGUGGAGUGAUUGGACUUGAAUUGUCCUAGGAAAGAAAAACAUAAUCGAGAGCUUGAUAUAUUUAAUCUUGUAUGUCUGAAGUUUCCGGGGACAGAGAAUCCAAGCCUGUUCCUCCCAGAGUGCUAAAUACCCUCGUGCUCAGAACUUGAUCUUCCUUUUCUCUCCAGAAUUAUUUCCACGUCCGAACCUGAAAGUCACAGCCCUUCAGCCUACAGAAGGGAACUCUGUAAACCUGAGCUGUGAAACGCAUCUUCCUCCAGAGAGAUUGGACACCCCUCUUCACUUCAUCUUCUUCAGAGAUGACAGAAUCGUCCUGUCAAGUUGGAGCAACUUCUCAGGGCUCCAGAUCCCCACCAUCUGGAGAGAAGACUCGGGACGGUAUAGAUGUGGGGCUGCAACUGUGACAAGCAGCAUCCAGAAGCUCAGCUCCUCCUGGGAGAUCCUCGUACAGAGUAAGUAGGCAGAGCCAGGGGGCUGGGUGGGACUGAGGCAUCUUUCCCACGUCUCUGGGCUCCUUCUGGCCCGUGGGUGUAGGGACUAUCCAAAAGAGAUUUGUUUUGUCAUUCUGAUAGGGGCACCAGGCUUAAACUCAGAAGCGAGGAACUAUAUAAUAAAAGAAAUAGGGGAUUUCAUUUCUACCUUCAUUUCCCAAAAACUUAGUCUUCCUUUCAAACUCUUUUAUGUUGGAGUGAUAGAGCUGAUGCCUGGAGUUAGAUUCAAGAACUGGGGUUAAAAAACAAGAAAACGAGGUUCCCUGUUAUUGAGUUGGCAGAUCCAGCAUGCCAGAACCCAGGGCAAACUAUUUAGAAGACAAAUACCCACCUCUUCCUAAUCAAUAGCAAAAACAAUAUACUGUCUGUGAGGUGUGCCGCAGAGGUGAGGGAGACAUAUAAAGGUAAAUACACUAAAUACCAUCUUGUCUAUGUUUACAGGUGAUUGGAAUUGAACUUAUAUUUCAUUAGAAGAGUUAGUAAAGCCAGAAUGAAAAAACGGCUAGGUUUUUGUUGUUGUUGUUGUUGUUAUAGUUGUUCUUUUGUUUGUUUCUAAGGCAGUGUCUUGCUAAGUUUCCCAGUCUGGCCUAGAACUUGCAACCCUCCUGCAUCAGCCUCCUAAGUUUCUGGGAUUACAGGCAUGCACCACUGUACCCAGAAAUGAGAGGGCCAGUUUCAUUAAACGUGGCCUUCUCAAAGAAAUUUUCUUCUUAAGGGACCAAAAACUUGUAUGUCCCUUACAUGGUGGCCUAUUUUUUUUCCCUGAUAUUAAAUAAAAAUUGUCAAUCAGCCCAAAAAGAAAAAUAUCAUCUUGUCUUAGGUACCAACGUAGGGCUUCAGGAAUCAGGUGUGGUCCAGCUUAGUCCCAUAACAACCACUAUUUCUAUUACCUAUCUCUCGAAACAAUUCAGACCACCAGCUAGGUCAGACAGAGCUCAAAUGCUUCUCGAGGAAUGGUCGAUUUUUCUCUCGUGGGGCUUUGUGUGUUAGGCCGGAAAGGUUAGCACAUUUAGUGAUGUCCUCGAUUCAAAAUCCAUAGUCCAUUGAUCACAGCACUAGUAUCCUCUAAGGAGGACACCUAAAGUCACGUGAAAAGUGACUCUGUCUGAAACCAGUCCUGCCUUCCCCACACCUGGCCCUCAGCUUCUGCUCCUGUUCCCGCAGGGGUCCCUGUGUCUCAGGUCUCCUUGGAGACCCAGCCCCCAGGAGGCCAGGCAAUUGAGGGGGAGAUGCUGGUCCUUGUCUGCUCCGUGGCUGAAGGCACAGGGGUCACCACAUUCUCCUGGCACAGAGAGAACACGACGGAGAGUCUGGGGAGGAAGGCUCAGCGUUCCCAGAGAGCAGAGCUGGAGAUCCCAGUCGUCCGGGGGAGCCACGGCGGGGGAUUCUACUGCACAGCAGACAACAGCUACGGCCCCGUGCAGAGCCAGGUGGUGAACGUCACUGUGAGGGGUGAGUCUUCAUCACCACUGACCCUCUUUCUUCUGCGCAUAUUUCCUCAAACUAGGAGUGGGCCUACCCAACAUUAACUUUCUGACUCAUCUUUACCCGACUUCUUUUUCCAUCCUCCCCAUGACAGACAAUCUCUUUCCAUCAGAAUGUUAACAAACCAGUCCGGUCAGUGGAAAGUAAUACAGUGAGGUAAAGCUGGCCGGAAGCCAUCUUUGCCUCUUGGAGCUGAUUUUGUGUGUCUGUUCUCUGAUCCUCUGUGCGCUGAUCUCAAAGAGUAGCCUUACCUCAUUAGCAGCGUUGUAGCUCUGUCACCUAAGUGUCACCUAUACCUCUCCUUUCAGUAAAUGAUUCAUUGCACAUCCGAUCCGUGUCCUCGAGGUGGACAGAACCAAAGGCAUAAGGCAGCCCUCUGCUUCGUACUGCAGGCCUGAGGGAUUCCCAGCUUCACAAUUACAUGCAGGAAACGCCUAAGUACGGUGAGCAGAUCCAGAGCCCAGCUUUGUCCCCUAGGCAGACAAGCCUUGCUUUGGGAUCCUCCAGGUCUAGUUCAUGCCCUCUUGUGUGCCCAAGAAGCCACAGUGGGCCAAGCCAUGUUCUCAGUCAACACUCGGCACUAAGGAUGUGGUUUCUCCUGGGCUUCAGCUCCUCUCCCACCCUGGGUUCAGUGCCUCCCUAGGCAUUCACUAAAUCGUCCAUCCAUCGAGAAGCUACUGGAAAACUAGAUGUCCCUGCUUUCCUUUCCAGUAAAACUCCUCAAAAGGAGUUCUCUCUACUGGCUCUCCUCACUUCUUCCAUUUCUCUCAAAUCCUUCUCUCAGGCUUGGCUCACUCCACUGAGUUACUCUUGUAAAGGUCACCAAUGACCUCCAAUGACCUCCAUAAUGCUGAGGCCGGGUAAAGCUCGGCUUCCAUUUUACUUGAUCUUCCUCCAGCUCUUGUCUCAAAUGAUCCCACCUUCUUGAAAUACUGUCCUUAACUUCUGGGGCACAACUCUUGGCUUUUUAUCGGACACUCCUUUUAGGUUUCUUUUCAGAGCCUCAUCAUAUUUCCAACUUGUCCAUUUUGGAGACUCCUCCUGGGGCUCUGUUCUCAGAUACUCUGUGCCCAGACUCUCCAUCAUCUCACCCAGUCUCAUGGCUUUAAAUGCACUUAUGACUUCCAGGUAUUGAGGACUCUCAAACUCAGCCUAUAGCUAGACCUUCUAGCUAAAAAAGUCUGACCCUCUGUUUCUUCCUCAGAUUUUCCAGGAACACCACCCCCCAGGCCUUGCGCAAUGCUCUUCCUUGAUAUCCUCGGCUCGCUCCCUCAUUUGUUCCAGGGCUCUGUUCUUCUCAAGGAGUCCUUCCCCCACCAUCCUUUAUAACAUGUAGCCCUUCACCGCAGCACUCCCUCCUCCAGUCCCUCUUGAGUCUCCCCCGACAUGCUCAUCACCAACUAUCAUGCGCUUCUUUGCUGUCCUCUCCCCUCCUCUAGCCUUAGCCUCAGGACAGCAGAUCCAUGUUCCGACCAUUAUAGUAUCCCCGAUGCCGGAAACAGUGCCGGCGUAACUCAGCCAUUCCAUAAAUGCUUGCUGAAUGAAUGAAUUUCUCAUCCAUCCUCUCUGUCGAUUGUACUAAGAGUCCUAGAAAAUAAAGACAUGACCAUCUGCAUUCUACCGACAGGGAAGGUGGAGCUCAGAGAGGUCUUGUCGUGUGCAUAGUCACAGGGUUUAUACAUGGCAGCCCAGAUUUGAACCUCUGCUGUCAGAGAGACGACAGCAACAUCAACGUUCUCCCGAGGCCACGCUGUCGAGUUCCUACACUGUCAACCAUGCUCCAUAAGCAGUCAGCUCUGACAGUCAGAGCCAUGAACCCGAACAGUUUAGACAGAGGCUGGGGGAAGGGUGGCUGUGCUAAUGGCCCAGCUGCUACUCAGUUUUCUCUGCAACUCCCUUGAGGCAAGUCCUGAGAUAAAGCAGGGGUCCUCCCAGGUAGGGGACUGAUGUCUUCCCAGAACAGAAGGAGCUGCAUCUCCGUCUUAGAACAGCUUCGGGACGUGAAACACCGGGUGCAAUUCCUGGCAGAAAAGGACUGAGAUGGAGUAGGUGGCAUUUCAAGAAUCAGCUUGGGAGAAGGGAAAGAGGUUAGGAAAACUGAAAGCCACCAGAUCACACUCUAAAGACUCCUAGGUACCCUGAAAUCCAGAGUGGCUCUGAAGGCAGGAGGUGCCACUUCUCCAGGAAGCCACCUGUCCUGAAAAGUUUGCCCAGGGAGCUGAGGUUAUGACCCCUGUGGAGGGUUGAAGUCAAUCUAUUGGAGACUGACACUUGAGUGUAAAAUUACUCUUCUUGCUUGGGGGGUUAAGGUAAUGGGAUGGAUUAGGCUUCUCUGCUCCAGGGAGUGAGCUGGUCACUUCACACGUGUAAUUUCAUUUUCCUCUCUCAGCUUCCCUGCAUAUGUGGGCUUGGCUACUUUUUCAUAUACUAGGGAAACAUCAUCUCAGAGAGUUAGACAGACGGCAAGGAUGCAGUUGAUGUUCGAUGGAGUGAGGUUUCCUUCUAAAUUUGUGGACCUAAUGCAAAUAUCUCUGUGCUCAUAAAUGGGCAAAUUUAUAACAAGACAUUAAUUCUGCAGUAGGCUUAAGGUAGGCUGUCUGGGGGCAGCUCAGGUCACCAUAAUAAAAUUCCAUCCACUGAGGCUGGUGUUGUAGCUCAGUGUAGCUUUUCUACUGGCUGUGUGGUAAGUAGCCAACAUGCAUGAGGCCCUGGGUUCAGAUCUUACUACUCAACAUCUCGUCAUAAGUGACUUAAACCACAGAAAGUUAUUUUCUCACUGGUUUAGAGGCUGGAAGUUUGAAAUGAGGGCAUCGAUAGGGUUCGGUUCUGGUGAGGAUUCUAUUGCUGAUUUGCAGAUGGCUGCCUUCUUGCUGUGUCCUCACGUGGCAAAGAAAGAGGGAGGGAGGGAGGGAGGGAGGGAGAGAGACAAGAGCAAGUUUUCUAAUGCCUCUUCUUAGAAAGGUUUUAAUUCAUCAUGAGGCUCCCCACCCACAUGACUUCAUUGAAGUUAACUACCUUCCAAAGGCCCAUGUUCAAAUAUGACCACCUUGGGGUUAGAGCUUCAACCUAUGAACUUUGAGGGGACAUACUGCAAGGAUUGAGGUUGGCUGCUGUGGUGCUACAGGGGAGCAAGCUUAACCUGUGGGGUUAAGAGCUAAUACUGAGGUAGACAUAGCACUUACAUUGUCGGCACUGUUUGUUCAAAGCACUGAACAAUAUUAACUCACUUAAUCCGCCAACAACAGUAAAUAGAUGUUAUGGUCCCCAUUUUUCAAAGGAGAAAACAGAAGUCCAGAAAGAUUAAAUUAUAUUCCCUGGCCACACAGUUGGUAAAUGGAAAAGCUGGAAUCCUAACCCAAUAAUCUGGUUUUAGAAUCCUGUGCCUUUCUAAGACAAAUUUCAACUACAUCCUCAAGAGUAGCCAUUUCUUCUAGGAAACUGGGUUACCAGAAAGGAGGGAUAAUUUGCUUUCUACCCAUUAAAUCUGAAAUCCCAGGCCUGGGUAUGGUUGAUUCUGGUUUUGCUCAAGAAGAUGCCCUGGAAGGCAAAUGAGGAAAGAUUCUUUCUUCCACUCUCCAACCAUCUUUAGCGGUCAGGAUGAGGAGGCUGGGCUGGCUGCCCGCUGAACCCUGCUUGUAGACGGAACCACUCAUGGGUCCAAUGGCAGGUUUGUUAGAUUUGUCAGGAUGGAAAAAUAGAGACAGAAAUUUCCCUCACUGGCCGCCAGCCAUUUAUUUUGUUCCAAGAAUCAUAAAUGAAAUAAUUGGAAAUUACCAUUAGCAUUGCUAUUGUUCUGACAUCAGGUGUCCUCUGUUUGAAUCUGAGACACUUGUCAUGUCUGAAGCUGACUUCCCCAGGGACCUAGAAUCUGUGUGAAAAGCCCCACCCACUCCUGUCCUUCCAUCCUACAUUAGUUCUGUGGCCUUUAUAAAUUUGUUCAUUGUCUGUCUCCCUCACUAGACCACAGGUCCAAGAAGGCGGGACCUUUUCUAUCAUUUUUCACUGCUGUAUCUUCAAGGUUUAGAUCAGUGCCUGGCGUGUGCUGGGCAUGUUCGUUGGGUGAGUGGAAGAAUUGAGUGAAAUCUCUCUCGCUGUGGAUGACAGGGUAGGAGAGUGGACCCUAAGGAAAAAUCAGAAACGUCCAACAACUCACUUUGUUGUGUAUGGAAAUAUGGAAAAAUUCCAUAUUUUCUGGGUUACUCCUCCCUGGACCACACAGGGUGAAUUUUUCUGGCCUUGUCUUGGCCCAAAAUUUCUCUCCCCCACCCCACUUUUUAGACCCAUAAUUUCUCGUCCCUCUCCCCCUCCCAGACAAGCUAAAGAGAGUUUCCAGGAUUGGAAUGCGUGGUGAUUCCAAACCCCAAGCCUCUCCUGCCCCGGCUCACACAGCCUCUCUCCCCUUAGUGAUUCCCAGCAACAGAAAUGCCCUCAUCGCCGGAGGAGCCGCUGGGGGACUGCUCAGCUUUCUUUUCCUGCUUGGGGCCCUGCUGUUUUUCCACUGGCACAGGACGAAAUCAGGUUAGUGUCCUUCUCUUGCCUUUGCCAGGGUCCCUGCCCUGUUCUUGCGUCAGACACCCCAGCUUCGCUCAGCCUCAGUAACCACCAAGCCGCUCUGCAGGUCUCCUCCUUACAGCGCAGUUCCCCAAACAGACCAGUGUGUGAGGGCUGCUUAGACCUGGUUCACUGAGUCUCAAGUGGAAGGAAGGAAAGAGAGAGAAUCUUUAAUGAAUAAAGUUUCAAACACUACCUUAACGGUUCUGGGGGGCAGUUUCUUUGGUUCAUACAGGUCGACCAACUAGAUCAUUCAGCCCGACCCAAAUCUAUAAAUGGAUCUUCGAACUAAACUGAAAGGCUCUGGAGAAAUGAUUGUGAAGGUUUCCUGGGCCUUAUUGGCUUGAACCUGCCCUGGCCUUGCUCUCCAUCGGUCAGCCUCCCCUACCUUGGGAGAAGGUCUCUCCCAGGCACUGUCGACCAUGUGCUUCCAAAGCCUUCUUGCUCAAGACCAGGUCAAACUAGUUUCAGAUGACAGAAAACAUGGUGUAAAAGAUAGGUACAGAGCCAGGCACAGUGGCGGACACCUGUAGUCCAAGUGACCCAGGAGGCUGAGGCAGGAGGAUUACAUAUUCAAGGCCAGCCUCAGCAACUUAGCAAGGUCCUAGCACUUAGUGAAAACCUGUCCUAAAAUAAAAAAUAAAAAAGAGCUGGGGAUGUAGCUCAGUGGUAAAGCCUCCUGGGUUCAAUCCCCAGUACAAAAAGAAAAAAAAAGAAUAGAGAGGCUUUCAGUUCUAGAAAAUUACCCACACCCUACAACUCUUUCUCUUACUUCAUUUAAUUCAAUUGAGCCCUCCAGAUCCUUGGGAGCACUUCCACAUACCGUGUAUUGAGCUGGAGGUGGAGAACUUUGGGCCUCUGAUGAGUCUCCUUAAUAUGCUUGAGGCAGAGCCUGAGGUUCCUCUGGACAUAGCCACAGAUGUUCCUUGAAGUCUACCCUCAGCCACUUCUCUACGAGGAUGAUGAUUUGGUUACAUUUAAUAUUUCUUGAGUUACAGUAACACAGCCUUGAACCCUAAUAAAGUCUCAUAUAAUGUAACCCAGGAAUGUGUAGCACUGGCCCCAGCAAGUUCCAUCCUUUGAUGCUGUGUUCCCAUCCUUUUUCAAAGUAUAUUGAUGAGAAUCAGGACUUGGCUGGUGUUUAAAUGGUCCCCCCUACACACCUCCCCCACACACACCUCCCCCCACCCACCGCCCUGCAGUAGCUCAUGUAUGUGAAGUCUUUGAGAAAGAGCUCCCUCUGCUGACAUGAAUGUGCCUUUGCUUUAUUUUGCAGGAGGUGGUUUC